RNAcentral lists this ribosomal RNA (486 nucleotides) under uncultured bacterium. RNAcentral's name for it is "SSU rRNA". It matches the Rfam family "Bacterial small subunit ribosomal RNA", at positions 26 to 518 of the family's 1533-position model. The record is from RNAcentral.
AGGACGAACGCUGGCGGCGUGCUUAACACAUGCAAGUCACGGGGGCCCGUAGCAAUACGGGCAACCGGCGAACGGGUGCGUAACACGUGAGCAAUCUGCCGAUCUCUGGGGGAUAGCCAGCCUAACGGCUGGGUAAUACCGCAUACGCUCGUUGGGGGGAGUCCCCUGAUGAGGAAACCUCUGGGGGAGAUCGAGGAGCUCGCGACCUAUCAGCUAGUUGGCGGGGUAACGGCCCACCAAGGCAGCGACGGGUAGCUGGUCUGAGAGGAUGGCCAGCCACAUUGGGACUGCGACACGGCCCAGACUCCUACGGGAGGCAGCAGUGGGGAAUAUUGCGCAAUGGACGAAAGUCUGACGCAGCGACGCCGCGUGUGGGAUGAAGCCUUUCGGGGUGUAAACCACUGUUGCCCGGGACGAAACUCCUCUUUCGAGAGGAUUGACGGUACCGGGUGAGGAAGCACCGGCUAACUCUGUGCCAGCAGCCGC